Molecule: long non-coding RNA, 334 nt
Filed under: Elaeis guineensis (African oil palm)
Lineage: Eukaryota; Viridiplantae; Streptophyta; Magnoliopsida; Arecales; Arecaceae
Description: long non-coding RNA (EGUI_LNC006975)
Source: RNAcentral
GAGGGCUAUUCUCUGAACCACUUCACAUGAUUUGAUAUGUUUCCUUCCCCGUCCUCUCACUGUCUUGCGUUGUCGGAUGUUUGCUAAGCAUCUUUCUGUGUACCCCUCUCGCCCCCCUGUCGAGCUCCAGUUCGCCAUGUUCCACUCUCCCCUCCACCGUAUAAUAUGACCUCUCGAGCGAUCAACACGGGAAUGAAAAGUGGAGCAAGUAAUGAAGUGGCUGGAUAUGUCUGUAUCAACAAAGAAACAAAAAAUUGGUGCAAGAGAUUAAGCGGCCUGGAAGCUUUUAGUCAUGCUAAAGAGAUCUGGGUUUCCACUUUUGAGAGAGAGAGAG